This 69-nucleotide transfer RNA is filed under the name Glyptotermes sp. C TB-2014. RNAcentral describes it as "tRNA-Gln". It matches the Rfam family "tRNA". Rfam says of the family: Transfer RNA (tRNA) molecules are approximately 80 nucleotides in length. Their secondary structure includes four short double-helical elements and three loops (D, anti-codon, and T loops). The record is from RNAcentral. Lineage: Eukaryota; Metazoa; Arthropoda; Insecta; Blattodea; Kalotermitidae.
UAUAUUUUAGUGUAUGGUGCACGUGAAUUUUUGAUGUUUAAGGUGUCAGUUUGACUCUGUCAGGUAUAG